Molecule: ribosomal RNA, 335 nt
Filed under: uncultured eukaryote
Lineage: Eukaryota
Description: partial 18S ribosomal RNA
Rfam family: Eukaryotic small subunit ribosomal RNA
Source: RNAcentral
CCCUUAGAUGUCCUGGGCUGCACGCGCGCUACACUGAUGCGUCCAAUAAGCACCUAACCUAAUCCGAAGGGACCGGGUAACCUUAGCAAAGCGCAUCGUGAUGGGGAUAGAUUAUUGCAAUUAUUAGUCUUGAACGAGGAAUUCCUAGUAAGCGCAAGUCAUCAGCUUGUGUUGAUUACGUCCCUGCCCUUUGUACACACCGCCCGUCGCUACUACCGAUUGGAUGGCUUAGUGAGACCCUCGGACCGAUAGGCUGUCGCUGCAGCAAUGUGGCGACUGGCCCGUCUGGGAAGAAGGUCAAACUUGACUGUCUAGAGGAAGUAAAAGUCGUAACA